CCAAGAAUUGCAAACUCUAGAAUCGGAAUCGCCUCGCAUCCGGCACUUGCUAUGGCCGCCGCCGCCGGGACUCCGCCGCCGCCGCCGCCGCACGCCCCGUCGGGCCCACUCGUCAUACUCCGGUGACGCCGCGCGAUGAUCCCCGGCGACCACUCCUCCGGACCCGCGGAAUUAUCCCCCGAUUGCUUUGACCCUGAAGCUCCAGGUGGAUCCGUGGCCAUUGUAUCUGACGGUUGAAGAUAUAUUUAUCCAUUUAACCCCACACGCGCUAUGUACUUUGCGCUCUCUCUCUCCUCUACAUGACAUUAUCACUUUUUUUUUUGUAUUUACCGAUAGAUGAUCCAGCCACCUGCUUCGCUCACGACGAGAAGGACUUUGAGUCGAAUGAAACCGUUUGGGCACUGUACGAGCGGUGGUGCAGCUUCCAUAGUGCGGAGCACGACCACGAUGACAUGGUCCGGUGGUUCGGAUGUUUCAAGGACAGAGCGCGCAGAAUUAUCGAGUUCAACAAGUCUAGCAAGCCUUAUAAGUGGGGGGUUGGGGCCUGGGGGCUCAACAUAUUUGAUGAUAUGACCCCGGAGGAGCUCUUCGAAUUUGGGAAUAAUUAACUAUUUGCCACUUUUACAAGUAGUUCUAAAGGAUUUGCCAUUGAACCCACACGUCAUAGACACAUGAGGGCCCACAUACAUGUCAUAGAUAGCGAGUGGCAAAUUCUUAAUUGUUAUAUCUUAAAAGUGACAAAUAGUUAAAUGUCCCCCGAAUUCAAGUGUCCACUGCUCCUGCAAAGGACUUACUAAUUUACCAAGAAGCACUUCAGUGAUAAUAUAAUGUUAUACUGAUUGAUCAUCUGCUAGCUACUUUAGGUUCAGCCUGAGUAAUCUCUACUAUACUUAAAAAGAAGCCUAGUGGUGGUCUUGAAUCCUUACCAGGCAGACCUGCGAAGUGUGAACCAUUCGAUCUCCAAAUCCAACGGCUCAGAUCGAGUUACCCCUUGUUCGCACGCCCACCACAUCCCCGUCGUUCGCACGCCCCUAUUCCCCCGUUUCUCUUCCCCUCGGCCACCUUUAACGCCGCACCCUAAUCGCCACUCGCGCCAUCUCCCACCUCGUUGGUACCCUCCGGCGCCCCCAAUCUCUGGUUCGUCAACCACCUCCGCGAGCGCUGCCCCCAACUUCCGGCUCGUCAACCACCUCCGUGCGCGCCGCGGGAACACCAACGACCACGCCGCCACCGAUUCGGAGUCGCCUUGACGACAUCUCAUCAGAUACUAACUGUUAUCCAGUGAAAGUUAUCCUUAGCAAAGGUAUAUUGUUACACACUUCUGCUUCCAUAUUUUUCGCUUUUCUCUGAGGAAUAUCUGGCAUUAUAUUGUCAUUUCUAUGCUUUUUGCAUCAACAUUGUAUCCUACAACAAAAUUUACUGUUUAGACUGGACUAUAUGAGAUUCCUUUCAAAUGUAGUUUGCACUCUGAAUUACAGAAUUCUGUUCAGUAAGCCAAACAUAAAGUUCAAGAUGAUAUUGUGUGUAUAGCCAUGUAUUCUUAAUACAUAAUCAGGACCAACAUCAAUGCCAAGCUCAGUUGUAUUUCUACGUGAUAUCGCAUUUCUUUAGCAUGCACCGAACAUUUGUCAAGUCCUCUUUUGACAAUCUGUGAUGGAUGGGUAAAACUGUAAAUGUAGUUUACCUACUGUAUGUUGAACCAUUUGACUUAUUUGGAAUUUGGACAUAGGAGUAUCAUGUCCAUCACAGUAUUAGAUCCAUAUGGUUAUUCUGGAUGGUUAUAGACCUACAGAAUGAUAGUAUUGCAGAUUUGCAGUGAUGUGUCCACUGGAUUUUUCGCUAUUAGUUGGUUUUGUAAUGUUUUGCAGCUUAGUACUGAUUUUUCGCUAUUAGUUGGUUUGUAUUUGUAAUGUUUUGCAGCUUAGUACUGAUGUUAGCAGAUUUCUGAGGUUCUGCUUUAGUUCAGAUUUCCAAUUGCAGUUUAGAAUUUUUUGUAAUCAUGUAGUUGCAGUCCAGUUUCCAGUGGGGUACUGAAUUUCCACUUGAGUGGAGAUCGUCUGAACUGAAAGCCAACAUUUGAGCUCAUGCUAUUAGCCUAUUACUGUAUCAAAUAAAACUUUGUUCUUUAUCAAAGAAGCCUUAUCAGAUUGGUGGAUCACCACCACCGACGGUAGGUAAGCUCCAUCCCUUUUGUUCUAUCCAAAAUUCCACGAAGAUCAGGUUAUGGAAUGAGAUGAACUAAUACAUCUGGAUUGGUGAGAUCAGGGUGAAUGGGGAUGUUUUUUUUUUCAGUUUUGGGAUGUUUCUCAUUUAAGUGUGAUGGUUAUAUUGAACUAUAAUGCAGGCAACACUGGCCCUUGAUGUUUUUUUCUGAAACAAAAACUGUCAGAUUAUAUCGAUCAAUCAGUAUUAACUUUGGCAACAUAAUAGGCUCACGGGGAAAGGAAACUCCCUCACGGAUUCUUCAAUUAGGAGGGACUGCAUAUUCAGCCGCUCUCUGCUGCUUAGUGGAUACUGGAUUUGAUUUAUGCAAUGAUCACAUCAGAGAGAAAUAUUAUCUGAUAGACAAUCAAGAGGUUUUAGGUUUUCAGAUAAAAUUUAGAUCAUUGCUCAAAAAGAAAACAACAUAGUGCUUGGUUACUAUGCAGUCCCUUCUGUAGCAAAACUAGCAAUACAUCAUGCCAAAUAAUCAACUUGGAAUUCAAUGUUGUGCCUUCUAUAAGAGAGUUAAAUAGUUUAGAAGAAUAUGGGUCAGAAUUAUUAUUAUUGAUUUGCUUCUGUUGUUUGCUACUGUACCAUCCUAUUCUGUUAAUGUACAGUAAAUUGUGUAAUUUUAUGUAACAAUUAAAUCUGAAUACUAUUAUAACAAUGGUAUCUUGAAAAUUUUGUAGUAUUGAAAACCACAUUCUGAACAUUAGUGCAAGUUCAGUUUUUAA
Molecule: non-coding RNA, 2936 nt
Organism: Oryza sativa Japonica Group (Japanese rice)
Lineage: Eukaryota; Viridiplantae; Streptophyta; Magnoliopsida; Poales; Poaceae
Source: RefSeq, a predicted model, not a curated record